RNAcentral lists this ribosomal RNA (253 nucleotides) under uncultured bacterium. Its description in RNAcentral is "partial 16S ribosomal RNA". It matches the Rfam family "Bacterial small subunit ribosomal RNA", at positions 524 to 776 of the family's 1533-position model. The record is from RNAcentral.
UACGUAGGGGGCAAGCGUUGUCCGGAAUCAUUGGGCGUAAAGCGCGUGUAGGCGGUCCGGUAAGUCCGCUGUGAAAGUCGGGGGCUUAACCCUCGGAUGCCGGUGGAUACUGUCGGGCUUGAGUACGGAAGAGGCGAGUGGAAUUCCUGGUGUAGCGGUGAAAUGCGCAGAUAUCAGGAGGAACACCAAUUGCGAAGGCAGCUCGCUGGGACGUUACUGACGCUGAGGUGCGAAAGCGUGGGGAGCAAACAGG